Poecilia latipinna (sailfin molly) is the source of this 176-nucleotide long non-coding RNA. RefSeq lists it as uncharacterized. Lineage: Eukaryota; Metazoa; Chordata; Actinopteri; Cyprinodontiformes; Poeciliidae. The record is from RefSeq and is a predicted model, not a curated record. The transcript is spliced from 3 exons.
ACAAAAUCUCAUCAAGUAUUUUCAGUUUAGUUUUUAUUGCAAAUAUUUUUGGACAUGUAAAAUAAGACAAAACUGUCUGAGAAAAAGUACUGCGCAGAUCUUUUUCAAUUUUAACAUGAACAUUUUUUUUUUACAGUGUGCAACCUGAUCGUUUGAUUCAACAGAGUAGCAGAAUA